AGUGAACGCUGGCGGUAGGCCUAACACAUGCAAGUCGAACGGCAGCACAGUAAGAGCUUGCUCUUACGGGUGGCGAGUGGCGGACGGGUGAGGAAUACAUCGGAAUCUACUUUUUCGUGGGGGAUAACGUAGGGAAACUUACGCUAAUACCGCAUACGACCUACGGGUGAAAGCAGGGGAUCUUCGGACCUUGCGCGAUUGAAUGAGCCGAUGUCGGAUUAGCUAGUUGGCGGGGUAAAGGCCCACCAAGGCGACGAUCCGUAGCUGGUCUGAGAGGAUGAUCAGCCAUACUGGAACUGAGACACGGUCCAGACUCCUACGGGUGGCAGCAGUGGGGAAUAUUGGACAAUGGGCGCAAGCCUGAUCCAGCCAUACCGCGUGGGUGAAGAAGGCCUUCGGGUUGUAAAGCCCUUUUGUUGGGAAAGAAAAGCAGCAGGUUAAUACCCCGCUGUUCUGACGGUACCCAAAGAAUAAGCACCGGCUAACUUCGUG
RNAcentral lists this ribosomal RNA (492 nucleotides) under uncultured bacterium. RNAcentral's name for it is "partial 16S ribosomal RNA". It matches the Rfam family "Bacterial small subunit ribosomal RNA", at positions 29 to 507 of the family's 1533-position model. The record is from RNAcentral.